GGAGAUUACGUCAAAAGGAUUGGCAUCUGAUUUCGACUCAGACUAAUGAGGCUCAAUUCCUCAAAUCUCUUAAU
Molecule: transfer RNA, 74 nt
Filed under: Aphyocharax rathbuni
Lineage: Eukaryota; Metazoa; Chordata; Actinopteri; Characiformes; Characidae
Description: tRNA-Arg
Rfam family: tRNA
About the family: Transfer RNA (tRNA) molecules are approximately 80 nucleotides in length. Their secondary structure includes four short double-helical elements and three loops (D, anti-codon, and T loops).
Source: RNAcentral